CCUACGGGAGGCAGCAGUGGGGAAUAUUGGACAAUGGGGGGAACCCUGAUCCAGCGACGCCGCGUGAGUGAAGAAGUAUUUCGGUAUGUAAAGCUCUAUCAGCAGGGAAGAAAGAAAUGACGGUACCUGACUAAGAAGCCCCGGCUAACUACGUGCCAGCAGCCGCGGUAAUACGUAGGGGGCAAGCGUUAUCCGGAUUUACUGGGUGUAAAGGGGGCGUAGACGGCGAUGCAAGUCUGAAGUGAAAGGCGGGGGCCCAACCUCCGGACUGCUUUGGAAACUGUAUGGCUGGAGUGCAGGAGAGGUAAGUGGAAUUCCUAGUGUAGCGGUGAAAUGCGUAGAUAUUAGGAGGAACACCAGUGGCGAAGGCGGCUUACUGGACUGUAACUGACGUUGAGGCUCGAAAGCGUGGGGAGCAAACAGGAUUAGAUACCCGAGUAGAC
Molecule: ribosomal RNA, 443 nt
Filed under: uncultured bacterium
Lineage: Bacteria
Description: partial 16S ribosomal RNA
Rfam family: Bacterial small subunit ribosomal RNA
Source: RNAcentral